This is a long non-coding RNA of Ruditapes philippinarum (Manila clam), 356 nucleotides long. RefSeq lists it as uncharacterized. The record is from RefSeq and is a predicted model, not a curated record. The transcript has 3 exons. Lineage: Eukaryota; Metazoa; Mollusca; Bivalvia; Venerida; Veneridae.
UCCGAAACGUCCGUGGUCCGAAAUGUCCGUAAUUCAUUUGGAAUUGUUUUGUAUGUUUCGCUAGAAUUAGUUAAUUAUCAGUGACGUGUUUUUGAAAGUGAAACAAGGUGUAAAAGACAUGGCAGAGAAGGAGGAUAUUGCAAAUAAUCCAUUUGCAGCAUUAUUUCCAAGUAUUGACCAAGCACAACUUUUUAUUGCUAAUAAACAAAUCGCAAAACAAGAAAAUGGUAUAAUAACUUCAGUGCCGACAGAAAGUACUAUACCUCAGUGUACUGACAUCAAAGAACUUUCCAGACAGAAAACACAGAUAAGCACCCUGCUUGAACAUAUCUUUCUCAUUACUUUGGAUAAUGGUA